This 274-nucleotide small nuclear RNA is filed under the name Mus pahari (shrew mouse). RNAcentral's name for it is "sRNA (MGP_PahariEiJ_G0008403.1)". It matches the Rfam family "7SK RNA". Rfam says of the family: 7SK was discovered as an abundant small nuclear RNA in the mid-70s but a possible function has only recently been suggested. Two independent studies have found that 7SK RNA binds the CDK9/cyclin T complex (known as elongation factor P-TEFb). The record is from RNAcentral. Lineage: Eukaryota; Metazoa; Chordata; Mammalia; Rodentia; Muridae.
GGAUGUGGGAAUGGUCUGACUGUGACAUCUGUCACUCGUUACUCACCAGGGUAGAUUGGCUGAUCUGGCUGGCUAGGCAGAUGUCCCCUUCCUCCCUCACCAUUCCAUGAAGCUUCACACUCAGUUGAAGAGGAUAAUCUUUCCCAAAUAGUGGCAGACCAGUCUUUUAAUCCCAGCACAUGAAUAGCUUCAUUUUCCUUCUAGAACACCCAAACAAGCUCUCGAGAUACUGUAUUAUUGGCUCUAUUCACAUCACUCAGAUGUGAAUAACUUU